Molecule: long non-coding RNA, 1407 nt
Organism: Pogonomyrmex barbatus (red harvester ant)
Lineage: Eukaryota; Metazoa; Arthropoda; Insecta; Hymenoptera; Formicidae
Source: RefSeq, a predicted model, not a curated record
UAUGGUUUGAUUUUUUAUUUUUUUUUCUCACGUACCCGGAGUUGAGGCGGAUUCAAGUCUUGGAUGCGACUCCGUGAUGAUGAUGUAUCCCCCAGGGCGGAUUCUCUUCUGGGAUGGUGGGCGGUUGUGAUCUAUGGUAACGUCUCCUGGGCGUUGUGCAUUCACGAGUUUUUGAUGGUCGCGUAGUUCGCGGUAGUUCGUUGGUACGCGAUGAUCGCGGAGUUGGAAAGGAAGUAGAGGGUAAUGAUAAUAAUAUUGAGACAGGUGAUUAUUUUCAAUUGAUGACACUGUAUUCUAAAGCACUCGCAUCACACUUAGUUAAUAUUAAAUUGCAACUACAACUUAGGAUUAUUACGUGAAUUUGAAUUACGCUAAGAAUUUUAACUAAAAUUAGAACUUGGAAUUAAACUUGAAAUCAAGUACACUGGAAUUUGGAAGACGACGGUCGUAGUUGAACUCGAGAGAGCUCUGAAGGGACGGGAUCUCUCAGAUUUAGUAGUGAGCACCAAGUGACCGAAGGGACACGCUAAAAUGGCGCUCUCGGUCCCUGGUUUUUUGCGCGCCUCACUGUUCUGAGUGGUGGGGGAACAGAGAAGCGCGCCAUGAUGCGUGGCGUGGGUUGCGCAAAGAAUAGAUCUUAUGGAACUUAUACUCUAUUUACGUUCUAAUGGAAUACUUAAGAUCUAACGAAAUAUAGUUAUUGCGGAAGUGCGCCGUUGCGUAGCGUUGUAUGAGGGAGCUGACCGCCGCGUUCACUACGGCGGCUUAUGAUGUUCGCGAGAAAGAGAAAGAGAGAGAGAGAGAGAGAGAUAAAAUGAUCAAAACGAAAAAGUGGAAAGAAAUUGCCUUGAAUCGUUAUAACCGAAAGAAACUUCCUCCAAAUACCCGGCUUGAGAAGGUUAUCUACAAUUUCAAUGGCAUCUGGCGUUAGUCACCCGAAAGGAUUAUCUCCUAAAUUCUAAUAGUAGUGGGUCGGCGCUCACUUGAACAUAUAUCAUGAAGCAAUUGACAAAUGGCAAUUGACAAAUCUAUAAGAAGUUGACAAGUUGUUUACAACAUUCCCAAUUGAACAAGAAAUUGACAUGCGGUUAAUAUUUUAACUUAAUCGUUUUCUAUUGUCAUCGCCUUUUUACUUGCUUAACACAUAAUUGUUAACAAAUUUUGUAAUUGAAUAGAGCGUGCCAGGUGUAGGAUUUUUAAGGAUAGUUAAGCAAAGUACGAUAGUUCAUUGCGUUGAGGUGUAUCCUCAACGCUCCCUUAUAUCGUACGGAAAUUUAUUUCUUUUGUGAAAGGAAGCAGUUUGCGAUCCCAUCGACGCUUAAGGCGGACAAGGUGAACCUCUUUCACGCACGGGGAUCACUAUCAAAGAAACGUUCCCUUCUCUGGUGCAGAACACUAGUAAUAGAA